UACGAAGGGGGCUAGCGUUGCUCGGAAUCACUGGGCGUAAAGCGCACGUAGGCGGAUUGCUAAGUCAGGGGUGAAAUCCUGGAGCUCAACUCCAGAACUGCCUUUGAUACUGGCGAUCUCGAGUCCGGGAGAGGUGAGUGGAACUGCGAGUGUAGAGGUGAAAUUCGUAGAUAUUCGCAAGAACACCGGUGGCGAAGGCGGGUCUCUGGGCAGUAACUGACGCUGAGGAGCGAAAGCGUGGGGAGCGAACAGG
This 253-nucleotide ribosomal RNA is filed under the name uncultured bacterium. Its description in RNAcentral is "partial 16S ribosomal RNA". It matches the Rfam family "Bacterial small subunit ribosomal RNA", at positions 524 to 776 of the family's 1533-position model. The record is from RNAcentral.